Long non-coding RNA from Erpetoichthys calabaricus (reedfish), 1728 nucleotides. RefSeq lists it as uncharacterized. The record is from RefSeq and is a predicted model, not a curated record. The transcript is spliced from 2 exons. NCBI's taxonomy places the organism in Eukaryota, Metazoa, Chordata, Cladistia, Polypteriformes, Polypteridae.
GGAUGUGAUUUCCAAAAUAAGAGUAUGUGAUACCCAGUGAGGUUAACAUUUUUACGAUUUGCUAAUGUAGCACUGAGUGCUUUAAAUUCUGUUUAAUUCAUUCAGGUUGGGUAAAACAUUGUACUAUACUGUACUGUACUUUAUCUUUUUGAUUGCUUGACUUGCAGGAGAGCUGAUCAAAAGCUAGUCUAGUACUCCUCUGACAAAAAUUAAUAGAACAUAUGAACAAAAGUGUCAAAAAUAUAUUUGAAAUCAACUGCUAAUGAUUAACCCUUUAAAGCUCAUUGGAUCUUUUGGGUAAAACAUUCAAAACCCAAGGUAGUCUAGAAAGAAACAAACAUUUCUCAAAAAAGCAAGCCAUCAUUUGUAUAUUCUAACAACAUCACUAAACAUCUUGUAAAAUUCAAGUAAAUAAUCUUAAAAGACUGUCUAGAAGAAAAAGGCUAAACAUAGAGAGGUUGUGUGGGUUGUAAUCACUGAAGAAAUAUUGUCAAUAUUAGAACAAAUUCAAAGGAAAAAUAUUUCAACACAUCUUCAAAAUCGUUUUAUUUCAGUAAAUGUGUUUUGAGUUUUUUUGUUUUAUGAAAGAAUGUAAUAUGACCAAUUAAAAAGUUGAAUGCACAUUAAUGGCCAUUGAAAUCCACACAUAAGUGGAACUGAAAAUAGGAGGGACAAUGUGCAUCUAAACCUGUGUGUAUUAAAACUGAACUGAACUUUGUCUCUCUGAUAAAGAUUAAGAGUUGACUGCUUUCAUUGAGGUAUAUAACUGCAAAAUCAAGCUAAUACUAUAUCACUGAAUAAGCUCAGGACUUACAGAGUUUCAUAAUACACUAAAGUAUAAUUGUAGCAAGAAAACCACAGAUGUUAUUCGUUGCAAACGAAUGUUGCUGCUUUCAUUAUUUAAUUGAUUUGUGUGGAUAAAAAUAUUAUGUUUGCAAAUUAGAUAGUUUUAUGUUACUUCUUCCAACAUAAAAUAUGUUUUAUAUUUCCUGUUUAAUUGUAUGUUAAAAGCAAUAGAAAUGGAUAUAUCUAAAUCAAUAAUUGUAGAUUUACUUGUAAAAUGGAUGCAUGAAAUGUAGUGAGUCCAUGUAGACUCUGUGUAAACUGUCUAGGUUUUGGCCUCAGUUCAACUGGUAAAAUGUGUGUGAUGUUGAAUUUCAAAAGUACUAUGGAAAUAACUGGUGGUCUGAGCAAGCAAAUCAAUAAAUAACAGCAGAAAUCCUAAGUUUCAGUCAUUCAUUUGAAUAUGUAUUGUUGGAGUCAAAAAGUUACAUAUACUCAUGAUUUGUAGAAGUAGAGUACAGCAAAGCCUUUGUUGUCUUGGCCUUCUGUGUAUACAUUAAAAUGAGUUUUCUUCACAAUGCAAUUUCUUGAAAAGAAAAAAAAAAUCUUUAAAUAAAAGCAUGAAAAUCACUGUCUAUAGUCACCUUUAAAGAUACUGGGGAAAAAAAGUGGACCUACUAUGAAGUUGUUAAUAAAAUGUUAUAUGUACUGUAUAUAAAUAUAUACAAAAUGUGUGUGUAUGAUAUAUAUGAAACAAAACAGUACUUGCAAUUUUAUUUCAUAAGUUAUUCAUAAUGCACAGGGAUUUUACUUAAGGGAUGUAGCAGAAAAAAUGUCACAUCCAAGGAAAACACAUUUAAAUUUUUUCAUAUCUUAUGUUAAAAUAUAUAGUCAAUUGCAAUUUACACAAAAGUAAAACAGAUAAGAAUACAAAAUACAUAAUUU